GGGAGCAUGGCUCAACUGGUAGAGAGCCUGCUUCGCAAGCAGGACUCCCUGAGUUCAAACUCCAGUACUACCU
RNAcentral lists this transfer RNA (73 nucleotides) under Dipodomys ordii (Ord's kangaroo rat). It matches the Rfam family "tRNA". Rfam says of the family: Transfer RNA (tRNA) molecules are approximately 80 nucleotides in length. Their secondary structure includes four short double-helical elements and three loops (D, anti-codon, and T loops). The record is from Rfam by way of RNAcentral. Lineage: Eukaryota; Metazoa; Chordata; Mammalia; Rodentia; Heteromyidae.